Molecule: ribosomal RNA, 497 nt
Filed under: uncultured bacterium
Lineage: Bacteria
Description: partial 16S ribosomal RNA
Rfam family: Bacterial small subunit ribosomal RNA
Source: RNAcentral
GAUGAACGCUGGCGGCGUGCCUAAUACAUGCAAGUCGAGCGAACGGACGAGAAGCUUGCUUCUCUGAUGUUAGCGGCGGACGGGUGAGUAACACGUGGAUAACCUACCUAUAAGACUGGGAUACCUUCGGGAAACCGUAGCUAAUACCGGAUAAUAUUUUGAACCGCAUGGUUCAAAAAUGAAAGACGGUCUUGCUGUCACUUAUAGAUGGAUCCGCGCUGCAUUAGCUAGUUGGUAAGGUAACGGCUUACCAAGGCAACGAUGCAUAGCCGACCUGAGAGGGUGAUCGGCCACACUGGAACUGAGACACGGUCCAGACUCCUACGGGAGGCAGCAGUAGGGAAUCUUCCGCAAAGGGCGAAAGCCUGACGGAGCAACGCCGCGUGAGUGAUGAAGGUCUUCGGAUCGUAAAACUCUGUUAUUAGGGAAGAACAUAUGUGUAAGUAACUGUGCACAUCUUGACGGUACCUAAUCAGAAAGCCACGGCUAACUACGUG